GACGAACGCUGGCGGCGUGCUUAACACAUGCAAGUCGAACGGAAAGGCCCUGCUUUUGUUGGGUGCUCGAGUGGCGAACGGGGGAGUAACACGUGAGUAACCUGCCCUUGACUUUGGGAUAACUUCAGGAAACUGGGGCUAAUACCGGGUAGGAUCUCCUGCUGCAUGGUGGGGGUUGGAAAAUGUCGGCGGUUGGGGAUGGACUCGCGGCUUAUCAGCUUGUUGGUGGAGUAGUGGCGUACCAAGGCUUUGAAGGGUAGCCGGCAUGAGAGGGUGACCGGCCACAUUGGGACUGAGAGACGGACCAGAAGCGUACGGUAGGCAGCAGUGGGGAAUAUUGCGCAAUGGGCGGAAGCCUGAUGCAGCAACGCCGCGUGCGGGAUGACGGCCUUCGGGUUGUAAACCGAUUUCGCCUGUGACGAAGCGUGAGUGACGGUAAUGGGUAAAGAAGCAACGGCUAACUACGUG
RNAcentral lists this ribosomal RNA (468 nucleotides) under uncultured bacterium. RNAcentral's name for it is "partial 16S ribosomal RNA". It matches the Rfam family "Bacterial small subunit ribosomal RNA", at positions 28 to 507 of the family's 1533-position model. The record is from RNAcentral.